This 1129-nucleotide long non-coding RNA is filed under the name Sarcophilus harrisii (Tasmanian devil). RNAcentral describes it as "lncRNA (ENSSHAG00000021770.1)". Lineage: Eukaryota; Metazoa; Chordata; Mammalia; Dasyuromorphia; Dasyuridae. The record is from RNAcentral.
AUUUUUUGAUAACCUGCCAGAUCUUUCACACACAGCCCUACCAUAACUUACACUAUUGUUUUCCUAAGUGUCCUGAACUUAGUAGAACUCUAGUUUGAGCACACCAUUACUGCUUUUUAACAAGUUGCUACAUUGCCAGGACCCUGGAGUCAGAAGUACCUGAUUCCCACCUAGAUAUUUCUCAGGCAUCAGUCAGACACUCAGCACCUGCAAACUGUUCCUACUUUCAGAACAUUUAUUUUCUGUUGCAGAACCUCCUCAGGAUUUCCUGGCAUGCAGUCUUUCCCACUGUCUAGUUUAAGAAACUGUUUCUGGUUUCGGAAACAUUAGGAGAUACAUAAAUAGGUCAAAUUUUACUCUAGCUUCAACUUUUCUGACGUAAAAAUCUCAGCAGAGAAAAAGCCAUGCAAAAAUAACACCCCAAUCAGAAACAAAAGCAACCCUUGCCCUCAGCAGACCCCAUUUGGCUUCAUCCCCUCUGCAAUUUGGAUAUGCUGACAAUUUAGUAGGGAAGCACGAAUCGCCGGGGUUCUGCUGUCCAAUAUUGGCCAAUGUCAGAAGAUACCCAAGCUCAAUCCCAGGCACCAGCCCCUGUCAGUGAAAUGUCAGUCACUCACCGAUGAUGUGACAGAAUCUCAGUACGCGCUCUACCUGCCUCGGUGCCUCUCAGUCCCAGGCUCCCAUCCUCUAGGCAGCCACAGACCGGCUCGAGUUCACAUUUAACAGGCAGGAAGGCAGGCAGGCAGGGCAGGCAGACAGUCCCUCGCGGUUCUGCUCAGCCUGGGAGGAAGCAGAGAACUGCGGAGUUUGGAGUCAUCUAGAGGGAAUCCUCUCCCUUCCACUGUCGCUCAAUGAGCAAGGGACGCAGGUGAACGCAUCCUCUCCGCCUAGAGCUUUAAAUAGCACUUUUACUGCUGGUUUCUUGCAGUUUAUGCUUCCUUCCACUCUGGAUUUGAUUAUAUUGGGAAAUAGAAGCCAACAUGAUUUUUUGCUCCUUGGGAUAUACAGCACUCUGCUAUAUGGAACAGACAACUUUUACCUGUUUCAUUUAAGGCUUGUUGUUUCUUAUAACUUCACAUGUGUCUUCUCAAUGGGGAGGAAGAGAGAGAAGGAGAAAGGGAGAGAAUCU